Molecule: long non-coding RNA, 489 nt
Organism: Lolium rigidum
Lineage: Eukaryota; Viridiplantae; Streptophyta; Magnoliopsida; Poales; Poaceae
Exons: 3
Source: RefSeq, a predicted model, not a curated record
CGUCCUGCAUCGCGGGCGAUCGCCGUCGCCAGUAGAUUCGGAUGGUCCUGCAUCGCAGGCACCAGGUCGACGCUGCCGCAACAUCGAGAGACGCCGAGUCUAGGUACACACCGUUGAAACUAUUUCGAAACAUAUAUUUGUAACGGCUAAUUAGACAGGAAGGCAUGUUAUAGGUGCCAUGUUCUUCUUGCCCGUUGCUAUUGCAAUUGAAAGGUAUGCAGAUUUUUGGCUUGUUAUUUGCCUGGAUUAUAUGGUAGGUAAAAGUACAAGGCAGAGGUAAAAGUGAUGGCGUCUUGGUUGGCUGGCAUUUUGUGAUCCUAAUGAUGCACUCAACCAGUUCCAUCAGAAUGUUGUGAACUUGCUAGAGUCUGAUGUAGAUACUCUUUAAAGAAGAAUGAACAAGAUUGAAGCUCUUAUAAGGAGAAGAAACGACCAAAGAAGAUUGUUGACGCUAGCUUGGAGAUCUAGUCCUAUUUUACAAAUGUUUGA